This is a long non-coding RNA of Phyllostomus discolor (pale spear-nosed bat), 814 nucleotides long. RefSeq lists it as uncharacterized. Lineage: Eukaryota; Metazoa; Chordata; Mammalia; Chiroptera; Phyllostomidae. The transcript is spliced from 3 exons. The record is from RefSeq and is a predicted model, not a curated record.
CAGGUUAGGUCCUUGACUGAGGGUGUGCGAGAGGAAGCCUCACACUGAUGUUUCUCUCCCUCUCUUUCUCCCUCCCUUCCCAUCUCUCUAAAAAUAAAUAAAUGAUAUCUUAAAAGUACAUUCUCUUAGACCAGGGUUGGCAAACUUUCUUUAAGAGCCAGAUAGUAAAUAUUUUAUGUUUUGCCAGUCUUUAGAUACUCUGUUACAGUUACUUAACUCUGCCAUCUUAGAGCAAAAGCAACUGUAAACAAUGCAUAAAUAAAUCAGUGUGACAGUGCUUCAAUAAAACUUUAUUUACAGUAAUAGGAAGCUUAUGGACAAUUGCAGAUUGGCCAUAGUUUGCUGCCCCUGCUUUACAGAAUCAGUAGUGAUAUCCUUCUUUUGUUCCUGAUACUGUUAAUUUAUGACUACUGUCUUUUUUCCUGUCAGCAGUCUGAUUAGAGCUUUAUCAGUUUCACUGAUCUUUCAAACAACCAGAUUUUUGUUUCUUUGAUUUUCUUUGUCUUUUGUCUUUGAUAUUCUUUGUUCUUUGUUUGCUUCCUGUUUUAUUGAUUACUUUAAUCUCUAUCUUUUCCUUUCUCUACUUAUUUUGGGUAUAAAUUACUCUUAUAGCUUUUAUGAUGAAAGCAUAGAUCAUUGAUUUUUUUUAUUUCUAUGUUAAAGUUUGGUUUUUAUUUUUCCAGAUCUUUUGAAGGCAUAUAAUAUAUAUGUACAAACAAAUAAGAUCAUGAUAUGUAGCUUUUCACAACUUACUCUUUUAAUUUAAUAAGGCAUUGUGGGGAUGUUUCUAUGGCUAUACAGGGUGGGGCAAAAG